Osmia bicornis bicornis is the source of this 333-nucleotide long non-coding RNA. RefSeq lists it as uncharacterized. The record is from RefSeq and is a predicted model, not a curated record. NCBI's taxonomy places the organism in Eukaryota, Metazoa, Arthropoda, Insecta, Hymenoptera, Megachilidae. The transcript has 2 exons.
AGAGUACAGCCAAAAAACGAAAACAUGAAAGUUUCGAGAAGCCUGACAAGUGCAGCAAUUGCUCUGAUAAGCAUGCUCACUUAUUUCGCAAUAGCCAUGGCUGCUCCAAAUCCAGAUCCUGCACUAAAUCCGAAAGUUAUAGCAUCUUUGGCCGGCAAAUAAAUGAGGAAAGGACAUCGUGGAAAUGUUUUGCAGGUUCAUUUAUACAUAAAAGUAUAAAACUUCCUUAUAUAUAAUGUGAAAACAUUAAAUUUUUCUUAGAGAAACUUGUUGAAAAUUAUAUACGUGUUGUAUUUCAAGUGUUUCCAAUGAUUAAAAGGGUAUUAGCAUGAA